AAGAGAGAGACAUGCGCGCAUAUCAAUAAGCGGAGGAAAAGAAACUAACAAGGAUUCCCCUAGUAACGGCGAGUGAAGCGGGAAGAGCUCAAAUUUGAAAUCUUAAAGGGUUUCCCUUUACGAAUUGUAGUUUAAAGAAGUGUUUUCUGUUGAGGUUUUGGUAAAAGUUCUUUGGAAUAGGACAUCAUAGAGGGUGAGAAUCCCGUAUUUGACCAUUUACUUUCAGCUUUGUGAUACACUUUCAAAGAGUCGGAUUGUUUGGGAAUGCAGUCCAAAAUGGGUGGUAAAUUUCAUCUAAAGCUAAAUAUUGGCGAGAGACCGAUAGCGAACAAGUACCGUGAGGGAAAGAUGAAAAGAACUUUGAAAAGAGAUGUUAAACAGUACGUGGAAUUGUCAAAAGGGAAGCGUUUGACACCAGUGUUGUUUUUCUGAAAAUCAAUUAAAGAACUGUUUAUGCUAAGCUGUUUAGACUUUAUCAGCUAACUGUUUAGUUUUGAGCUUUUCCUUAAUGCACUUUUCAGUUAACAAGUCAACAUCAAUUUCUUUUGCUGUAAAAAAGCUUGAGGAAGGUGGCUUGAGAUUCGUCUUAAGUGUUUAUAGCCUCUUGCCUAUGCAGUCGGAGAGAUUGAGGUCUGCAGCGUAGAUCCUUCGGGGCUAAAUGCAUUUGUGCUAAGUUAUAGCAUUUUAUAGACAACUUGUUGACUAUGAUUUGUCUUGUAGCUUACUCGCUUAUGUUAUUUUACCUACGCUUAGGAUGUUGAGCGCAUGUCUCUCUCU
RNAcentral lists this ribosomal RNA (777 nucleotides) under uncultured Neocallimastigales. Its description in RNAcentral is "partial large subunit ribosomal RNA". It matches the Rfam family "Eukaryotic large subunit ribosomal RNA", at positions 23 to 616 of the family's 3401-position model. The record is from RNAcentral. Lineage: Eukaryota; Fungi; Neocallimastigomycota; Neocallimastigomycetes; Neocallimastigales.